Molecule: transfer RNA, 56 nt
Filed under: Ovis aries (sheep)
Lineage: Eukaryota; Metazoa; Chordata; Mammalia; Artiodactyla; Bovidae
Rfam family: tRNA
About the family: Transfer RNA (tRNA) molecules are approximately 80 nucleotides in length. Their secondary structure includes four short double-helical elements and three loops (D, anti-codon, and T loops).
Source: Rfam by way of RNAcentral
UAGCUUAGUCGGUAAAGCAUCUGCCUGUCAUGCAGGAGACCAGAGUUCAACUCCUG